This 506-nucleotide ribosomal RNA is filed under the name uncultured bacterium. RNAcentral's name for it is "partial 16S ribosomal RNA". It matches the Rfam family "Bacterial small subunit ribosomal RNA", at positions 30 to 523 of the family's 1533-position model. The record is from RNAcentral.
AUUGAACGCUGGCGGCAGGCUUAACGCAUGCAAGUCGAGCGGUAACAGAGAGAAGCUUGCUUCUCUGCUGACGAGCGGCGGACGGGUGAGUAAUGCCUAGGAAUCUGCCUAGUAGUGGGGGAUAACUUGCCGAAAGGUAAGCUAAUACCGCAUACGUCCUACGUGAGAAAGGAGGGGACCUUCGGGCCUUUCGCAAUUAGAUGAGCCUAGGUCGGAUUAGUUAGUUGGUGGGGUAAUGGCUCACCAAGACCGCGAUCCGUAACUGGUCUGAGAGGAUGAUCAGACACACUGGAACUGAGACACGGUCCAGACUCCUACGGGAGGCAGCAGUGGGGAAUAUUGGACAAUGGGGGGAACCCUGAUCCAGCCAUGCCGCGUGUGUGAAGAAGGUCUUAGGAUUGUAAAGCACUUUAAGUUGGGAGGAAGAGCAGUUAACUAAUAUUUGACUGUUUUGACGUUACCGACAGAAUAAGCACCGGCUAACUUCGUGCCAGCAGCCGCGGUAA